This 254-nucleotide ribosomal RNA is filed under the name uncultured bacterium. RNAcentral describes it as "partial 16S ribosomal RNA". It matches the Rfam family "Bacterial small subunit ribosomal RNA", at positions 524 to 776 of the family's 1533-position model. The record is from RNAcentral.
UACGUAGGGUCCGAGCGUUGUCCGGAAUUACUGGGCGUAAAGAGCUCGUAGGUGGUUCGGUAAGUCGGAUGUGAAAUCUCCAGGCUCAACCUGGAGGGGUCAUUCGAUACUGCCGUGACUAGAGGUCGGUAGGGGAGUGUGGAAUUCCUGGUGGAGCGGUGAAAUGCGCAGAUAUCAGGAGGAACACCCGUAGCGAAGGCGGCACUCUGGGCCGAUACUGACACUGAGGAGCGAAAGCGUGGGGAGCGAACAGG